This 494-nucleotide ribosomal RNA is filed under the name uncultured bacterium. RNAcentral's name for it is "partial 16S ribosomal RNA". It matches the Rfam family "Bacterial small subunit ribosomal RNA", at positions 28 to 507 of the family's 1533-position model. The record is from RNAcentral.
GACGAACGCUGGCGGCGUGCUUAACACAUGCAAGUCGAACGGUGAAGCGCCUUCCUUUUUGGUGGGUGUGGAUGAGUGGCGAACGGGUGAGUAACACGUGAGUAACCUGCCCCCUUCUUCUGGAUAACCGCAUGAAAGUGUGGCUAAUACGGGAUAUUCUGGGUCUGUCGCAUGAUGGGUCUGGGAAAGAUAUUGUUUCGGUGGGGGAUGGGCUCGCGGCCUAUCAGCUUGUUGGUGGGGUGAUGGCCUACCAAGGCGGUGACGGGUAGCCGGCCUGAGAGGGUGGACGGUCACGCUGGGACUGAGACACGGCCCAGACUCCUACGGGAGGCAGCAGAGGGGAAUAUUGCACAAUGGGCGCAAGCCUGAUGCAGCGACGCCGCGUGAGGGAUGGAGGCCUUCGGGUUGUGAACCUCUUUCGCCAGUGAAGCAGGCCUGCCUCGUUUGUGGGUGGGUUGACGGUAGCUGGAUAAGAAGCGCCGGCUAACUACGUG